RNAcentral lists this ribosomal RNA (433 nucleotides) under uncultured bacterium. RNAcentral's name for it is "partial 16S ribosomal RNA". It matches the Rfam family "Bacterial small subunit ribosomal RNA", at positions 29 to 507 of the family's 1533-position model. The record is from RNAcentral.
AACGAACGCUGGCGGCAUGCCUAACACAUGCAAGUCGAACGAGACCUUCGGGUCUAGUGGCGCACGGGUGCGUAACGCGUGGGAACCUGCCCUUAGGUUCGGAAUAACUACCCGAAAGGGGUGCUAAUACCGGAUAAUGUCUUCGGACCAAAGAUUUAUCGCCUUUGGAUGGGCCCGCGUUGGAUUAGCUGGUUGGUAGGGUAAUAGCCUACCAAGGGGACGAUCCAUAGCUGGUCUGAGAGGAUGAUCAGCCACACUGGGACUGAGACACGGCCCAGACUCGUACGGAAGGCAGCAGUGGGGAAUAGAGGACAAUGGGCGAAGGCCUGAUCCAGCAAUGCCGCGUGAGUGAUGAAGGCCUGAGGGUUGUAAAGCGCUUUUACCCGGGAUGAUAAUGACAGUACCGGGAGAAUAAGCCCCGGCUAACUCCGUG